RNAcentral lists this ribosomal RNA (491 nucleotides) under uncultured bacterium. Its description in RNAcentral is "bacterial SSU rRNA". It matches the Rfam family "Bacterial small subunit ribosomal RNA", at positions 28 to 516 of the family's 1533-position model. The record is from RNAcentral.
GAUGAACGCUAGCGGCAGGCCUAAUACAUGCAAGUCGAACGAUAGUCUUGUCUUCGGAUGAGAUGAGAGUGGCGCACGGGUGAGUAACGCGUACACGACCUACCUUACAGAGGGGGAUAGCCUUGGGAAACUGGGAGUAAUCCGCCAUAGUGUAUAUGAUCUGCAUGGAUGGUAUACUAAAGCUUCGGCGCUGUAAGAUGGGUGUGCGUCUGAUUAGGUAGUUGGUAGGGUAACGGCCUACCAAGCCAACGAUCAGUAGGGGGCGUGAGAGCGUGGUCCCCCACACGGGUACUGAGACACGGACCCGACUCCUACGGGAGGCAGCAGUAAGGAAUAUUGGUCAAUGGAGGAAACUCUGAACCAGCUAUCCCGCGUGAAGGAUGAAGGGGCUCUGCCUUGUAAACUUCUUUUGGAUGGGGCGAAAAAACGGGAUUUAUCCUGGACUGACGGUACCAUCAGAAUAAGCACCGGCUAACUCCGUGCCAGCAGCC